ACCUGGCUGUCUCAGUUGGUAGAGGAUGUGACUCUUGAUCUCAGGGUUGUGAGUUUGAGCCCCACAUUGGGUG
Molecule: transfer RNA, 73 nt
Filed under: Felis catus (domestic cat)
Lineage: Eukaryota; Metazoa; Chordata; Mammalia; Carnivora; Felidae
Also listed under: 4 other names
Rfam family: tRNA
About the family: Transfer RNA (tRNA) molecules are approximately 80 nucleotides in length. Their secondary structure includes four short double-helical elements and three loops (D, anti-codon, and T loops). Further hydrogen bonds mediate the characteristic L-shaped molecular structure. tRNAs have two regions of fundamental functional importance: the anti-codon, which is responsible for specific mRNA codon recognition, and the 3' end, to which the tRNAs corresponding amino acid is attached (by aminoacyl-tRNA synthetases). tRNAs cope with the degeneracy of the genetic code in two manners: having more than one tRNA (with a specific anti-codon) for a particular amino acid; and 'wobble' base-pairing, i.e. permitting non-standard base-pairing at the 3rd anti-codon position.
Source: Rfam by way of RNAcentral